This 995-nucleotide ribosomal RNA is filed under the name uncultured bacterium. RNAcentral's name for it is "bacterial SSU rRNA". It matches the Rfam family "Bacterial small subunit ribosomal RNA", at positions 505 to 1499 of the family's 1533-position model. The record is from RNAcentral.
GUGCCAGCAGCCGCGGUAAUACAGAGGGUGCAAGCGUUAAUCGGAAUUACUGGGCGUAAAGCGAGCGUAGGUGGCUUGAUAAGUCAGAUGUGAAAGCCCCGGGCUUAACCUGGGAACGGCAUCUGAUACUGUUAGGCUAGAGUAGGUGAGAGGAAGGUAGAAUUCCAGGUGUAGCGGUGAAAUGCGUAGAGAUCUGGAGGAAUACCGAUGGCGAAGGCAGCCUUCUGGCAUCAUACUGACACUGAGGUUCGAAAGCGUGGGUAGCAAACAGGAUUAGAUACCCUGGUAGUCCACGCCGUAAACGAUGUCUACUAGUCGUUGGGUCCCUUGAGGACUUAGUGACGCAGCUAACGCAAUAAGUAGACCGCCUGGGGAGUACGGCCGCAAGGUUAAAACUCAAAUGAAUUGACGGGGGCCCGCACAAGCGGUGGAGCAUGUGGUUUAAUUCGAUGCAACGCGAAGAACCUUACCUGGUCUUGACAUAUCUAGAAUCCUGCAGAGAUGCGGGAGUGCCUUCGGGAAUUAGAAUACAGGUGCUGCAUGGCUGUCGUCAGCUCGUGUCGUGAGAUGUUGGGUUAAGUCCCGCAACGAGCGCAACCCUUGUCCUUAGUUACCAGCGGUUUGGCCGGGAACUCUAAGGAUACUGCCAGUGACAAACUGGAGGAAGGCGGGGACGACGUCAAGUCAUCAUGGCCCUUACGACCAGGGCUACACACGUGCUACAAUGGUAGGUACAGAGGGCAGCUACACAGCGAUGUGAUGCGAAUCUCAAAAAGCCUAUCGUAGUCCAGAUUGGAGUCUGCAACUCGACUCCAUGAAGUAGGAAUCGCUAGUAAUCGCGGAUCAGAAUGCCGCGGUGAAUACGUUCCCGGGCCUUGUACACACCGCCCGUCACACCAUGGGAGUUGAUUGCACCAGAAGUGGGUAGCCUAACCUUUUAGGAUGGCGCUCACCACGGUGUGGUUGAUGACUGGGGUGAAGUCGUAACAAGGUAA